Long non-coding RNA from Strongylocentrotus purpuratus (purple sea urchin), 2208 nucleotides. RefSeq lists it as uncharacterized. The record is from RefSeq and is a predicted model, not a curated record. NCBI's taxonomy places the organism in Eukaryota, Metazoa, Echinodermata, Echinoidea, Camarodonta, Strongylocentrotidae. The transcript is spliced from 3 exons.
UUAAAGGUACUAUGACAUCAAACCCCCUCAAAUUCAAAUUUUAAUUGUUGUACGGUAAAUUUUCAUCGUGAAUCUGAUGAUGAAAACAAUUUCCAGUCAUUUUCAAUCACUCAGCUGCAAAAUGAGAAAAAGAAAUAUGCUUGGGAACGCCCCCUGAAAUUGUUGACGCUGGGUUGCGAUUACGUAAUCCCCUGUGACGUCAGCGGGAGAACACAAAGCGGGCUUGAGUGAGAGUAAAAUGCGUGAUUGUAUUGGCAUUGUGUGUUGAUUUGUAAAACUACGGACUGAACAUUGCUGCUUUGGAAGUUAUUUUUUUUCUGGGAAAAUGGAUCACUUGUGUGAAGGUGACAACGAGGAUGGAUUCUUUGUCUGACAGAGAAGAAAAUCUGCCUGAGUUUGAAGAGGAACUUGAGGGAAAAGGUGAAGUUUCUGCUGCUACUGAGCUGCGCCUGGUAUAUUCAUUGCCUACACUACAGUUUCAGCCUGCCUUUCCAGAUCCAGUGAGACUCGACUGAGAGAAGUUGAAACAAUUAAUUUUGUCGGCGUUCGUGAUAAUCAGGAAGACAUCGAAGAAAGACUUGGCCACAAUCAUUGGUGUUCAUGCAGUCGAUCAUGGAGGCUGCUUUGCAAUGCUGAAGGUCGUGGAGACCAUCUGCUUCAAAGAAGUUCCCAGUUCACGCAGACAAUGUUAUGGGCCGGAGGAGUUAUACUGCAUCACAGACCGUCCUGGUUUCAGGAGUGUUUGUCUAGAGUGCAGGGGGGUACUUGAGACCGCCUUCUACCAGUACCGCCAGCAUAUACGGCCAACAAGCAUGACAAGAUGUCACUGAAAAUGAGAAAAACAGACACGCUGCCUAUCGUCAGCUAGCUAGAUGGUGCUGGGGAUACCUGGGAAGAUCAGUGCAAGUUUCACUGCUGUCCUGCGCUGUACCUCAGAUCCGGACAACUUUACUUUCCUCAGAAUACAGAGGAUUUGAAGAGGAAUAUACAGAUAUUUGUUGGGCAUGGGGGUGUAGUGUGAUUCAUUCAAGACAUGGAUGUUUGCUUUUCAUUUUUUAAAUUUAUUUUGAAGGUGACAUUGAUAUGUUACUUACUUUUCUAACAUUGUGGCUAAAAUAAUUUACCUUAGUUUAAUGCGUUACAAAGCUUACUAAAAAGGGAUACCCGUAAGUUUUUGAAUUUCCACAUGAUAUAAAUACCUUCUAGAGCUAUAGGUUAUCUUCAUUUGUAAAUGCUUCUUAUCUCCUCAAGGUUAUGUAUUUAUUUAUUUAUUAUUAUUAUUAUAUUUCCUCAGGGGGGGGGGGGAUUCUUUCAAAUUAAACUUGUGAUCUACUGUCUGUAGGUUUAAAGUAGAUUAACAUAUGAACUCUCAAAAGGGUUAAUUCAUCCUAGAGCAGUUAUUUGCUGUCAGCCAAUGUUUUCUGUUUAGAGCUAUAAAAUACGGGAAAGUAAAUGUGUUCUCUUAUAAUAACUACUUAUUUUUGUAUGAUAUAUUACAGCUACAUAUUGUACUAAAGAAUAUCUCAUUUGCCUCGUCUCUCAGUUGAUGCCCACAAUCUAUGAGUUGAUUAUUAUUGUACUAUGAAGGAGGUAGACCACACUUGUCCUAACCUGCAUAGUGUACAGUUCAGCAGUCUUUCUUGUAGAACAAUUUCCCACCAGGUGUUAAAGGUACUACAUAGGUGAACAUUUUCAAUAGUUGUCAUUUUUAGAGGAAUAAUGGAUGAAACUGCAAGGCAAUCAUUACUUCCGUGCCUCUUGUUUUCUGAUGCACUGUGGGAUAAAUAUUUCAGCAUGUGUUUUAUACCUUAAAAUGCAUCGGUAAAUUCAGUAUAAUUAAAUCAGUUCUUUUGAAAAUCGUAAGUAAAUACUAGAAAGUAAAUAGAUACAUGUCCGACAUAUUCAAAUUGAUAUUGUAUUUAUUAAGUCUGUGAUUACCCCAUCGUUUUAUGCUGUUUAGGGUCAAGACAAGACAGAGAAACUAAAUGGCAAUUUGAAACUUUAUUAGCUAAUAUGGGAAUUAGAAAUGUUAAGUACAUGCACCAUUUCAUGAUGUAGCUAUUAUAGGACAAAUCGACCUUCCAAAUGGUUUAUAUAUUUUUUGUGUAUUUUUCUUCCAUGUCUUUCACGCAAAGCAACAUCUUACAUACACUCACUCUUAGCUUCAGUUAAUGUGAUAAAUUAAAGUUGACCAAUCCCCCAAAUAUA